This 73-nucleotide transfer RNA is filed under the name Methylocella tundrae. RNAcentral's name for it is "Pseudo tRNA". Lineage: Bacteria; Pseudomonadati; Pseudomonadota; Alphaproteobacteria; Hyphomicrobiales; Beijerinckiaceae. The record is from RNAcentral.
AGCCUCCUGUAACCGGCGUUUAUCUCCCUUCACACGGGAGGGGUCACAGGUUCAAUCCCUGUCGCGCCCACCA